RNAcentral lists this ribosomal RNA (392 nucleotides) under uncultured bacterium. RNAcentral describes it as "partial 16S ribosomal RNA". It matches the Rfam family "Bacterial small subunit ribosomal RNA", at positions 523 to 918 of the family's 1533-position model. The record is from RNAcentral.
AUACGUAUGUCGCAAGCGUUAUCCGGAUUUAUUGGGCGUAAAGCGCGUCUAGGCGGCUUAGUAAGUCUGAUGUGAAAAUGCGGGGCUCAACCCCGUAUUGCGUUGGAAACUGCUAAACUAGAGUACUGGAGAGGUAGGCGGAACUACAAGUGUAGAGGUGAAAUUCGUAGAUAUUUGUAGGAAUGCCGAUGGGGAAGCCAGCCUACUAGACAGAUACUGACGCUAAAGCGCGAAAGCGUGGGUAGCAAACAGGAUUAGAUACCCUGGUAGUCCACGCCGUAAACGAUGAUUACUAGGUGUUGGGGGUCGAACCUCAGCGCCCAAGCUAACGCGAUAAGUAAUCCGCCUGGGGAGUACGUACGCAAGUAUGAAACUCAAAUGAAUUGGCGGGG